RNAcentral lists this small RNA (207 nucleotides) under Vigna angularis var. angularis. Its description in RNAcentral is "Non-protein coding transcript". The record is from RNAcentral. Lineage: Eukaryota; Viridiplantae; Streptophyta; Magnoliopsida; Fabales; Fabaceae.
UCCCUGGCUACUUGGGUUUGCUUUGUCGGUGCCCUUCAAAGUUCUAUCGUGGCAUUCUUCGCAGAACACCACCAUUCUCAUGCCUGGUCCAUUGGUUGGGAUACACGAUUCUUUGCUCCUGCUUACGCGGGAAUAGUUUCAUCCGGAGUUCAGUAUUACAUACAAGGCGUGGUGAUCAAAUCCAUGGGCCCAGUUAUUGUGACUGCU